This 632-nucleotide ribosomal RNA is filed under the name uncultured bacterium. Its description in RNAcentral is "bacterial SSU rRNA". It matches the Rfam family "Bacterial small subunit ribosomal RNA", at positions 53 to 711 of the family's 1533-position model. The record is from RNAcentral.
AUAUGCAAGUCGAACGAGGUAGCAAUACCUAGUGGCGCACGGGUGAGUAACGCGUGGAUAAUCUGCCCUUCACUGGGGAAUAACUAAUCGAAAGGUUAGCUAAUACCGCAUGAGGCCACAGACUCUGAGGAGACAGUGGUUAAAGAUUUAUUGGUGAAGGAUGAGUCUGCGUGGGAUUAGCUAGUUGGUGAGGUAAUGGCUCACCAAGGCUACGAUCUCUAACAGGUCUGAGAGGAUGACCUGUCACACUGGAACUGAGACACGGUCCAGACUCCUACGGGAGGCAGCAGUAGGGAAUAUUGCGCAAUGGACGAAAGUCUGACGCAGCGACGCCGCGUGAGUGAUGAAGGCCUUAGGGUCGUAAAGCUCUGUUGCAGGGGAAGAAAAAAAUGACGGUACCCUGCGAGAAAGGAUCGGCUAACUUCGUGCCAGCAGCCGCGGUAAGACGAGGGAUCCUAGCGUUGUUCGGAAUCAUUGGGCGUAAAGCGCAUGUAGGCUGCCAUUCAAGUCAGUUGUGAAAGCCCCGGGCUCAACCCGGGAAGUGCUUCUGAUGCUGUUUGGCUUGAGUACUAGAGAGGAUAGUAGAAUUCCAGGUGUAGUGGUGAAAUACGUAGAUAUCUGGAGGAAUACCG